Molecule: ribosomal RNA, 45 nt
Filed under: Amanita sabulosa
Lineage: Eukaryota; Fungi; Basidiomycota; Agaricomycetes; Agaricales; Amanitaceae
Description: partial 26S ribosomal RNA
Source: RNAcentral
GGUAGGAUUACCCGCUGAACUUAAGCAUAUCAAUAAGCGGAGGAA